This 22-nucleotide small nuclear RNA is filed under the name Arabidopsis thaliana (thale cress). RNAcentral's name for it is "snRNA_16025". Lineage: Eukaryota; Viridiplantae; Streptophyta; Magnoliopsida; Brassicales; Brassicaceae. The record is from RNAcentral.
UUUCUCUCUCUAAAGAUUUGAU